RNAcentral lists this transfer RNA (68 nucleotides) under Diplomys labilis (rufous soft-furred spiny-rat). RNAcentral's name for it is "tRNA-Val". It matches the Rfam family "tRNA". From Rfam's summary of the family: Transfer RNA (tRNA) molecules are approximately 80 nucleotides in length. Their secondary structure includes four short double-helical elements and three loops (D, anti-codon, and T loops). Lineage: Eukaryota; Metazoa; Chordata; Mammalia; Rodentia; Echimyidae. The record is from RNAcentral.
CAAAGUGUAGCUUAACCAAAAGCACCCAGCUUACACCUGGAAGAUUUCAAGUACACUGACCACUUUGA